AGCUCCUCCUUUGUGGCGCUCGCCGCCGGUAGGAGCACAGCCUGCUGCGCCACGACGUCGAGCUCAUCCGGCGGGAGGAGAACGAUCUGCUGCACCAUGGCGUCGAGCUCAUCUGGAGCCCACCGGCGGAACGGCGGCCCGCAGCAGUAGCGUCGUUUGUUCCUUGAGCUGCCGCACAUGAUGUCUUGUCGCUAGGAGGAGCGUGUAGGUACUCCACAUGAGUUUCACCUGUGUGUACCAGAAGCUGCUUGUGUAAAUGUCUACGAGCAAAGACUACUGAUGGAAGAUGACCAGCCGUGUGCAUCUUCUUUUGUUUGAAAAGGAUGAUUAGAUGCCAAAUUUGUCAGAUUCAUCUUCUCUAUUUAGAUCAGGGUCGCCUGGUCGGCACCAUCGCCGGGAGCAGCACUGCCUCAAGUCGUCGAUGCC
Molecule: long non-coding RNA, 426 nt
Organism: Lolium rigidum
Lineage: Eukaryota; Viridiplantae; Streptophyta; Magnoliopsida; Poales; Poaceae
Exons: 3
Source: RefSeq, a predicted model, not a curated record